ACUCCUACGGGAGGCAUCAGUAAGGAAUAUUGGUCAAUGGACGGAAGUCUGAACCAGCCAUCCCGCGUGCAGGAUGAAGGUCCUAUGGAUUGUAAACUGCUUUUGGCAGAGACGAAAUGUUGUCAUUUAUGAUGAUUUGACGGUAUCUGCAGAAUAAGCACCGGCUAACUCCGUGCCAGCAGCCGCGGUAAUAC
Molecule: ribosomal RNA, 194 nt
Filed under: uncultured bacterium
Lineage: Bacteria
Description: partial 16S ribosomal RNA
Rfam family: Bacterial small subunit ribosomal RNA
Source: RNAcentral